Molecule: ribosomal RNA, 253 nt
Filed under: uncultured bacterium
Lineage: Bacteria
Description: partial 16S ribosomal RNA
Rfam family: Bacterial small subunit ribosomal RNA
Source: RNAcentral
UACGUAGGUGGCGAGCGUUGCUCGGAAUCACUGGGCGUAAAGGGCGCGUAGGCGGCCAUUCAAGUCAGAGGUGAAAGCCCAAGGCUCAACCUUGGAAUUGCCUUUGAUACUGUUUGGCUUGAGACCGGAAGAGGUAAGUGGAACUGCGAGUGUAGAGGUGAAAUUCGUAGAUAUUCGCAAGAACACCAGUGGCGAAGGCGGCUUACUGGUCCGGUUCUGACGCUGAGGCGCGAAAGCGUGGGGAGCAAACAGG